GACCCUUGUAGGCCCUGCAUGAUUGUCAUGGAGACGAUAAGAGUCAUAGUUAAAAGUCAUAUUCACUACAAUGCCAUUGAGAUGGUGGAAGGUUAUGUAGCAAUAAAAACUUGAACAUCACAGCUUGACCGAGUGGCUUGAUGCAUUGCCAAACAGUCCCAAAAAAAUACGUCUCACAGUAUCUGAACGUUAUUGGAACUCAACUAGAUACAACUCCUAACACACAAUUCUUCUAUUUGUGAGCGUGAUAUUACAUGUUGAAGGAUACGGUUAACUUUGUAUAGAUUUCCUGUUAUUCCAGGAUAUCUUUAAUCUUGGGUUUCCUAGUUUAGGAGAUAUUAUCUUGUAAUUAUUCUUUCCUGUUUACAGUAGGAUUGUAUAUGAUUAUAUACUGUUGACCCUAGAAAUUACAAAGCCUACGUGGCGCGCAGGCCGAAUAUAUUCUAAGCUAACUACGUCCUUCGGUGAUUGCGGGGCGUGCCAACUCGUCGGCCGAGGCUCGGCCGAGGAGUAAAUUUGAUGAUGCUGCGUUGGGUCGCGCUACUGACUUCUGCGUCUUGCGAUUGCGGCCGAGAAAGGAACGCGUCUCGGCCUCUUGGGUUCUCGAGCCUGAAGACAAGGCUGCUAUUUCUUACAAAGUUCACGAACCGAAUUCGGCUUACAAUGUGCCGAAUAUAAUAACUGUAACACCUCACCUCGCCGAGAAGGCUAAUGAGAUGACCUCGACCAAAAAGGAUUCGAAAACCCUUCUCGACCGAGACUUGGAUAGGCAAUCGACCGUUCUCGCUGCAGUGCUGUUGAUGCCAACGGAAGAUACUGCGAGACCGACCGACUCUACGGUGACAGAGCUAUCUAUGCCGACUUAAGAUAUCACCGGUUGCUUCCACAGUGCUGUUGAUGCCAACGGAAGAUGUGUCAGCGAAAAAGGAAAAGAAAAAAGAUCUCAAGUUGUGAGAGUUUGCGCAGGGCAAUUUUGUGUUGAUUUGCAGGGCUCUUUCCAUUGCUGAAUGUCUUGUAUUUAUAGUAGCAGAACACCGAGCCCGAGUUCUAAUCCUAUUCGAACUAGGUUUCCCUCUCCGGAUUAACGUUACCUCAAUCAGUCCUAUCUCUGCUAGGACUACGAAUCUAGUCCUUAACUGAGCCGGAUUCGCCUUCUAGUUUUACUGAUCUCGUCGAGGGUCCCUAUUGUAUUAGGACUCGACUUGCACUCUGAUUUAACCGAUCUAGGCCUAGAAGCCCAUGAGCUGAAUGCCCCCAUGACUCUCUCGCCGUACGUCUUCCCGGGCCGAAAGUGAUCCCUCCCUCGGCCCAAACUGUUAUUUUGGGCCCAAACAUAUACAUACCUUUGAAUGAGAAGAAUAAAAUACACAAUCAAAGCAUUCUCUUCUUG
This 1390-nucleotide long non-coding RNA is filed under the name Malus domestica (apple). RNAcentral's name for it is "long non-coding RNA (MDOM_LNC012080)". Lineage: Eukaryota; Viridiplantae; Streptophyta; Magnoliopsida; Rosales; Rosaceae. The record is from RNAcentral.